RNAcentral lists this long non-coding RNA (1156 nucleotides) under Chrysemys picta bellii (western painted turtle). Its description in RNAcentral is "lncRNA (ENSCPBG00000026303.1)". Lineage: Eukaryota; Metazoa; Chordata; Testudines; Emydidae. The record is from RNAcentral.
UACAGACAGGAAUGUCUAGGAGAAAGUUGUACACACUGUGUGUAAGGAAUUGGAUUGGGUAUACCGCGGUAUUGGCCGACCCGGAGAUGAGGUGGCCUUCGUAUGGCUCUUUCGAACAGGCUGCCUUAAGAGGAGUAAGGAGCCAGAUCGAAAAAGACCAUCCGGGACAGUUAUGUUACUGGUUUUGUUGGGACACUGCAGCAGAGCUGUGGAAAUCUUUAAAAAAUUAUGGCAGUCAGGUAUUCUCCUGAGAGUGAACCCCCUCCAUGUUAUUUUGAUGAAGGGUGUAAACCACGGCGUGUUUUGACUCGUCAGUUGGUCCCCACUGCACCUGCCCCUAUUCCUCCGCAGGGGGACUCUCUCCAGGGCGCAGAGGGGAAUCUGCAGGACUCCAGAUCGGAAUCUCUGCAGAGGGAUAAGGGGGAAAUGGAAGGGCACACCUCGGGAGGAGUAAUUACUAGGCAAAAGAUCAAGCAGAUGCAGCAGGUUGCAUACCCCUCCCCUGAGGAUAGCCCAGAGGCUGCCUCCGCCAAACUUUUUGUGAGUGAUAAAGGUGUAAGUAGAGAAAUGCCUUUACAGGUGCACGACCAACCUUUUGCGGACAAUAAUGGCCAGUUACAACAUACUAAUAUUGUGGAAUAUAAAGGAUGGCUAGAAUGGGACUUGAAAGAGUGGGGACGGUUGUCAGGGUCCUUUGGGGAAAAUCCCCGAAAAAUCACAGAACUUUUAGAAAGAUUGUUUUCAAGUCAUAAUCCUACUUAUACGGAUGUAGAUCAGUUGUUAAGUAGAGUUUUGACCGGAGAGGAACGUAGUAGAUUGUGGAUGGCAGAAAGGACAUGGGGGGAUAGCGAUGUGGUUAAUACUACUUGGAUGGAUAGGCGGGAUCAAGCCGCUGGCUGGAAUCCCCUAGACUGGAGUCAGCCAAGGCUGACUCAGCUGCGAACAAAUCGAGAGCGAUUGUUAGAGAGACUCAAAGAAAUGGCUCGCCGCUUGCCUAAUCAGGCUAAGUUCAUGCAGAUUCGGCAAAAAUCUGAUGAGCCACCCAGAAAGUUCUGGUCGAGGCUAUUGGAGGGGGCCUGAAUGUUCACUCAGAUGGAUCCUGAGAAAGAAGCAAACCACCCUACUCUUAUUUCGUUUUUUGUGNNNNNNNNNNNNN